RNAcentral lists this ribosomal RNA (513 nucleotides) under Triticum aestivum (bread wheat). RNAcentral describes it as "partial small subunit ribosomal RNA". The record is from RNAcentral. Lineage: Eukaryota; Viridiplantae; Streptophyta; Magnoliopsida; Poales; Poaceae.
AUGACAGGCGAUGUACACCAUGAAGCCAAAGCCCAAGAAAUCAUUGAGCUUACUGCCCUGCCCACUCCUGGUGAGCACUAUGAACCAGGUUGUCAGCUUCACCGCAAUGCCUUGGAGAGCAUUUUCCACAAGCCAGAGCCCAACAUGAGCCAAAUGCUGAGCAUGAUGAAGCCACUGCCCCAAGACGCUGAAUAUCCAAAGGAGUUCUUUGUUGAAGACCUAGAGUAUCUGCCUCGAACUAUUUAUCAUAUCAUCAGGCGAACUCUGUGGCCUGUCAAAGGACAUUCUCCUGCAGCGAAGCUUGAAGGAGCAAUGAAGACAUUGGUUUUCUAUAUCUUCAAUGGCAUCAGCUUCAAUGCUCCAGACUUCUUCAUCGGGCAAUUUGCUACAUCUGGCUCCGAUAUAUUUGGUAUGAAGUUCUAUGAUCCAUGGGUAAUGCGCCUCAUCAAGCUUCACUCUGCUAUCAACUAUCAGCCUUCUGCGCAAUCAUCUCAUAUUCUUGCCAGAGGUUGA